GCGCUGGGUAGCUCGGUCAGCAGAGCAGGACGCUCUUGAUCUCAGGGUUGUGGGUUCAAGCCCCACGGUGGGCA
Podarcis lilfordi (Lilford's wall lizard) is the source of this 74-nucleotide non-coding RNA. The record is from the annotation of a GenBank genome assembly. NCBI's taxonomy places the organism in Eukaryota, Metazoa, Chordata, Lepidosauria, Squamata, Lacertidae.